GACGAACGCUGGCGGCGUGCCUAACACAUGCAAGUCGAACGAAGUAUGUUUUUCGGAAUAUACUUAGUGGCGGACGGGUGAGUAACGCGUGAACAAUCUGCCCUGUACAAAGGAAUAGCCUCGGGAAACUGGGAUUAAAACCGUAUAAUGCUUUUUUAUCACAUGAUAAGAAAGCCAAAAUGAUUAAGUGGUAUAGGAUGAGUUCGCGUCUGAUUAGCUAGUUGGUAAGGUAAUGGCUUACCAAGGCGACGAUCAGUAGCCGGCCUGAGAGGGUGAACGGCCACACUGGAACUGAGACACGGUCCAGACUCCUACGGGAGGCAGCAGUGGGGAAUAUUGCACAAUGGGCGAAAGCCUGAUGCAGCGACGCCGCGUGAGUGAAGAAGGUCUUCGGAUCGUAAAACUCUGUCCUUGGUGACGAAAAAAAUGACGGUAGCCAAGGAGGAAGCCCCGGCUAACUACGUG
RNAcentral lists this ribosomal RNA (465 nucleotides) under uncultured bacterium. Its description in RNAcentral is "bacterial SSU rRNA". It matches the Rfam family "Bacterial small subunit ribosomal RNA", at positions 28 to 507 of the family's 1533-position model. The record is from RNAcentral.